GGGGGUGAAAGGUUUCGACUCUUGCUAGCCGGGAGUAAGGUGGCAUACCGAGGUUGGUCGGUUGGCCUCGAUAAAAACCGACUACUAUUAAAUGCUAACGACUACAAUCCAGUAGCCGAGGCCGAAGCUAUUUUAGCUGAGGCUCAAUUGGCACAUGUUGCUGCACCUAUGGGUGCAGCCCUUCCUGUAUUCCAACCUGUGGGAAUAUAAUAGGAAGUCAUUAACAGGUAACCUCGCAUAGUUCUUAGCCUUUAGGGCGUGCGAGUAUUAAAAAGGCUGGCCUUGAAAAAUCCUGUUUAUCGGAGCGUUCUUGGCGAGAUUAAAAGAUGAACUAAGUAUGUAGAUGCCUUAUUUUAGGGGCAAAAGGACGCGGUUUCAAUACCGCCACCUCCACCA
Molecule: transfer-messenger RNA, 396 nt
Filed under: Candidatus Omnitrophica bacterium CG1_02_43_210
Lineage: Bacteria; Pseudomonadati; Candidatus Omnitrophota
Also listed under: 6 other names
Rfam family: transfer-messenger RNA
About the family: Bacterial tmRNA, also known as 10Sa RNA or SsrA, is named for its dual tRNA and mRNA-like properties. Its role is to liberate the mRNA from a stalled ribosome. To accomplish this part of the tmRNA is used as a reading frame that ends in a translation stop signal.
Source: RNAcentral